AUACCAGCACUAAUGCACCGGAUCCCAUCAGAACUCCGCAGUAAAGCGUGCUUGGGCGAGAGUAGUACUAGGAUGGGUGACCUCCUGGGAAGUCCUCGUGUUGCACCCCCCGUUUUGCGUUU
This 122-nucleotide ribosomal RNA is filed under the name Betula papyrifera (paper birch). The record is from RNAcentral. Lineage: Eukaryota; Viridiplantae; Streptophyta; Magnoliopsida; Fagales; Betulaceae.